This is a non-coding RNA of Pteropus alecto (black flying fox), 80 nucleotides long. The record is from Rfam. NCBI's taxonomy places the organism in Eukaryota, Metazoa, Chordata, Mammalia, Chiroptera, Pteropodidae.
CAUACUUGAGGAGAAGUUAUCCUUGGUGUGUUCGCUUUAUUUGUGAGGAAUCAUACAAGGACAAUUUCUUUUUGAGUGUC